Molecule: long non-coding RNA, 496 nt
Organism: Camelina sativa (false flax)
Lineage: Eukaryota; Viridiplantae; Streptophyta; Magnoliopsida; Brassicales; Brassicaceae
Source: RefSeq, a predicted model, not a curated record
AAAAAACUUAUGUAUGGAAGAUCCAGUUAAUGUAUAGUAGAAACAUAGUAGAGACAAUUCACACUUUUUCAUUCCUACAAAAUAAAACUCCACAAAGAAAAGCAAAAGACCAUAGAGCCUAAUUUCUAGAUAUAUUUCAAUGGGUUUCACAAAAAGCUGGAUAAAUGUUUUUCUUAUAAUAGCAUUGACAAUUUCGCUUUCCUAUAGUAAUGUUUUGGCUGAGUCAGUGAUUGAGCCAGAAAAAUUUGGUACUUGCAUUUUUCAAUGUGGAGGUAUAUUGGAUGAUCAUGCAUGCGUCCAUGACUGUAUUAUGUCACAUGAUCGCCCUGGACGAUGUGUUGGAAAUCCUCCAUGUUGCCGCUGCUUCAUAUGAUAUUAAAAUGAACUAGUUAUGUGUUUAAGAAAAGAACGUUAUGCGUUUAAACAUAUAACUUGAUCUUUAGUUAUGCGUUUCUUGUAUGGUAUAUUUUAAAAAAUAAAAUGAACUUUUUUAAUC